AUACGGAGGAUGCGAGCGUUAUCCGGAUUUAUUGGGUUUAAAGGGUGCGCAGGCGGCCAUUUAAGUCAGCGGUUAAGUCGUGGGGCUCAACCCCAUUCUGCCGUUGAUACUGGGUGGCUUGAUUGCGGUCGAGGUUGGCGGAAUUCGUUGUGUAGCGGUGGAAUGCAUAGAUAUGACGAAGAACACCGAUUGCGUAGGCAGCUGACCAGAUCGCAAAUGACGCUCAUGCACGAAAGUGCGGGGAUCGAACAGGAUUAGAUACCCUGGUAGUCCGCACAGUAAACGAUGAAUACUUGUUUUCGGCGAUAUAAUGUCGGAGGCAAAGCGAAAGCGAUAAGUAUUCCACCUGGGGAGUACGCCGGCAACGGUGAAACUCAAAUGAAUUGGCGGGG
Molecule: ribosomal RNA, 392 nt
Filed under: uncultured bacterium
Lineage: Bacteria
Description: partial 16S ribosomal RNA
Rfam family: Bacterial small subunit ribosomal RNA
Source: RNAcentral